RNAcentral lists this ribosomal RNA (433 nucleotides) under uncultured bacterium. RNAcentral describes it as "partial 16S ribosomal RNA". It matches the Rfam family "Bacterial small subunit ribosomal RNA", at positions 29 to 507 of the family's 1533-position model. The record is from RNAcentral.
AGCGAACGCUGGCGGCAGGCCUAACACAUGCAAGUCGAACGACCUCUUCGGAGUUAGUGGCGGACGGGUGAGUAACACGUGGGAACGUGCCUUUAGGUUCGGAAUAACUCAGGGAAACUUGUGCUAAUACCGAAUGUGCCCUUCGAGGGAAAGAUUUAUCGCCUUUAGAGCGGCCCGCGUCCGAUUAGCUUGUUGGUGAGGUAAAAGCUCACCAAGGCGACGAUCAGUAGCUGGUCUGAGAGGAUGAUCAGCCACAUUGGGUCUGUGACACGGCCCAAACUCCUACGGGAUGCAGCAGUGGGGAAUCUUGCGCAAUGGGCGAAAGCAUGACGCAGCCAUGCUGGGUGAAUGAUGAAGUUGUGAGGAUUGUAAAAUUCUUUAACCGGGGACGAUAAUGACGGUACCCGGAGAAGAAGCCCCGGCUAACUUCGUG